CCUUCGGGUGUGAGUAGAGUGGCGGACGGGUGAGUAAUACUUGGGAAUCUGCCUAGUAGUGGGGGAUAACUCGGGGAAACUCGAGCUAAUACCGCAUACGCCCUACGGGGGAAAGAUUUAUCGCUAUUAGAUGAGCCCAAGUCAGAUUAGCUAGUUGGUAGGGUAAUGGCCUACCAAGGCGACGAUCUGUAGCUGGUCUGAGAGGACGAACAGCCACACUGGGACUGAGACACGGCCCAG
This 240-nucleotide ribosomal RNA is filed under the name uncultured bacterium. RNAcentral describes it as "partial 16S ribosomal RNA". It matches the Rfam family "Bacterial small subunit ribosomal RNA", at positions 77 to 334 of the family's 1533-position model. The record is from RNAcentral.